AAGAAUUGCAAGGAUUAGCUUAGGAAGGUCGAGGAGAGAGAGGGGUUGAGUAAUGUUUGUUUUUGUUGGUAGUUGAAUUGGGGUGGUUGUAGGCGGCGGAUUUGCAGAAGGUGGUGUUGCGGCGUUGGAAGUGUCGGAUGGAAGGACAUGUGUCGGAGGUGAGGAAAAAAUCCUACUUCGUUGAAGGUGAACGAAGUGC
This 199-nucleotide long non-coding RNA is filed under the name Erythranthe guttata (spotted monkey flower). Its description in RNAcentral is "long non-coding RNA (EGUT_LNC001479)". The record is from RNAcentral. Lineage: Eukaryota; Viridiplantae; Streptophyta; Magnoliopsida; Lamiales; Phrymaceae.